Etheostoma cragini (Arkansas darter) is the source of this 4206-nucleotide long non-coding RNA. RefSeq lists it as uncharacterized. The transcript has 3 exons. The record is from RefSeq and is a predicted model, not a curated record. NCBI's taxonomy places the organism in Eukaryota, Metazoa, Chordata, Actinopteri, Perciformes, Percidae.
GGGAAAAGGGCUGCUGCAUUUUAGUGAUAGCACAGACAGAGGCUGCAGGAACAGACGGGGGACGGGGAGAAUCGAUGAGAAAGGUAGAAAUUAAAAGAGAGGAGCGGAGCAUUGUCUGAGAGAGCAUGACAGGAUUCCCACACAGACUGUGACAAACGUGUACCUGAAGAAGCAGCAGAAGGGGGGGAAAGGGAGCACCCUUGCAUCACUGUCCACAGCAAGUGAAAAGACAGCUCUGUUUCAGAAGAGGGGAGAAGAAACCACCUGUAAUCAUGUUGUCCUUCCAUCGGUCUCAACAAUAGGCAGCUGUCUCAUUUCGUUGCCUGGGCCAAAAGAGAAAUGCUGAAUGGAUCCCUAUGUGCUGUUAGAGACAGGAGUAAAAAAAAAAUAGCAAGCUUCUGGGAGGAAAAGGGAGGAGAGAGCAGUAUGAGUCAGAGCACAGCAGCUAGAAUAGUGUGUAUUUGGCAUGCAAGAGGAGAGGUACAGGGAGAUAGAGGAACAAUGAGAAAGAUAUAAGGGGGGGAAUACAGAGGACUCAACCAGAAAUCAGCAGUCAUUAGACAGAAGAAGGACAGGAGGAAACAGAAGACACUGGCAGGAGGUUGUACGAUAUAGGGCAAGUGAAUCAGCUUGCUAGAGGGAGACAAAGGCAAGUUUACAGAGUGAAGGUUUCAUAUGACUGAAGAGGGUUUGAGGGAAGGUUAUUUGAAGGUUUGCUGCAGGGUGGAGAGUAAACAGAAACAGUGAAGGACAGAAGGACCGGCUUAAUAAAAAACUAUGUGAGCAGCUACAAGGGAUAAGGUCCUGAGUGAGGAGACAUUACUGAGGUUUGUACAUGGCAGCACAAGCUUCAAGAAGGUUGACAAAUUGAUAGAGAGAAGAGAGGAACAAAAAAAGAGUAGAACAUAGAGAUGACGCGGCAUGAGAACUUUAACUCUGAUAUCCCAGAGCAAGAGUUUCCCGUUAAAUAUUGAUGCUGACACCCCACUCUGGAAAGAACUCGCUCCUUGCACCGUGGAGGGCGAAACAGAAGGAAAAAACACUGGCUUUUUUAAAUUCUAAGGGAUUUUUUCACCGGAAUAAACAAGCAGUUAAGUGUGUCAGAUGACAGCCGAGUUGGGAUAAGUUCAAAUGUUGCUACAAAUUAAGACAAGACAUACACAUCUUGGGCCAGCUGUGCAAGUUCUCUGGGAGAGUGGAAUUACUACAGAGAGAGGAACUGGACCUUCAUCUUGUGUGGAAACAACGAAGAAGAAGGAAAUUAACGUUGGAGAGAUCACUAAGACUACAUCAGGACCAGAACAAUUUCUUCUUUUCUAUGAGAACAUGAUCCACUUCUGGCUGAUUAAUACAGAUCUGUUUUGGAUUGACAUGUUGUACCUGCUUUGACAGUCACUCUGGGGCUACAUCACUGCCAGAUGAGAGAAGCCAAACACUGCUGAAGCAUUCACAAAUCUUUCCUAUUUUUACUUUGUCCUAGACUGAUUGGAACUGUUCCAACUGUCUCUGAAAAUGACCUCAUUACAGAGAUUUGGCCAGUGGAAGAUUGCUGUCAUGGCUUGAGGAAAUGUAAGUGUGGAAAUGAUUUGAUGUGCAACAACACACAUCAUCCUUAAUUGGAAGCAGAGUGCAUACUUCGUUUUUGUCUCCAUGACUACAUAAGGACAAUUCUACAACUUAUUUUAACCAAGGAGUUAAAAUAGAGACUUCCUUUGCUGCGACCUGAAUCACAGAUUCCUCAAAACAGUAACGGAGGAGGACACAACAACACAGUCUCCAUACAGCUGCGGAUAUACCAGCUGCAUUUUUAUGUGUGUGUGUGUGUGUGUGUGGAGGGCUAUAAGGACUGUCAAAAAGCUCAGCUGUGUUUGUGUGUUUGCUUGUGUGGGUGUGGAGGUGUAUGUGAGCCAAGCCGUGUCUAAGUGUAUUUUCUAAGCAUCCCCUGGAGCUGUGUGAGUGUGUGUUUUGUGUGUGUGUGUUGCCAGAAUUCUCCCCACCAGCGACAGAGCUGGACCUGAACAGCAGUGGUGAGAGGGGGGACAGGGAGGGGGAGGAGGAGGAGAAGAGAGAGGUGAAAGAAACCAACAGGGCGGAGGAUAAGAAAAAACUGACAACAUGCUCGGAUAAAGAAAAGAAAGAAGGGAGUUUUGGGCUGCCCCCCUGGUGCAAUGUGUGGCGUGGCGCCCUGUGGGGGUGGGGUUCUGUGAUGGUAACCAUGGUCCCCGGCAGCCGCUAUGUCUGCAGCGCUCACGCUAGAGAGGAAGACACGACAAAUGACCGCGAGGAGCGAAUUUUAGCUGUGCUGGGCAUAAUAGGAACCAUCCUCAAUCUUUUAGUGGUCAUAUUUGUCUACAUCUACACCUCCGUCACCUAAGGUUGUCUGCAAGAAUUUAAAUGAGGGACGUUGACACCGUCCUUAACCUUUCUCCGAACUGCCACCCUCCUCCUCUUUAAGUAUUUAUAUACCUAAGAGGGUUUGAGUAUUCAGAUUGAGCGGUAAGAUGUGAAGAUCCUUGGCAGUGACUUCAACUGGAUAGUAGCCAUAUUUAUCUACACCUGCAUCACUGCUUAUCCCUUAAGCUUUGCUCUGUUAGCUAAAAAGUACUGACAAUCACAGGGAAGAAGUUGCAGGUGGAGUCAUCUGCACUUUCCUCCAAUUGAUGAAACUGCAUCUUCAAGACAAUUUCACACAACCACACAUGUCACAUGACAGUAUAUCCAGUCUAGUAAUGGGCAUCUGUAUUCAUAUGACUGGGGCCAAGCAUUUCUGUGACUGCUCAGACAAGUGCCAUUGAUGUAAUGGUGGUCCUAUUUGACUGUGUUGCAUCUUCAUCUUUGUAACGUGUGUUACAUGUCAUAUGAAUCAAACUCCUUUGUGACAUUUAAGAUAUCACUGCCAGUUCAUUUUAUCUAAAUGGUGUGACAACAAAGGCACCUUUGAUUUAACCAGACUGGUUGUGAUUUAACCACAUUGGGUAGGGAAAGAUGUGGUACGCCAUUAAAACUAUUUAAAGGGACCAACAUUUCCAAGUGAAUUAUUAACAGAGGAACCCAUAGGCAUAUCUACUUCUGAGCACCCUUAAAUCUACUUGAAUAGUACAUGUAUACAAAUAUAUGGAUUAUUACUCACACCCAUUGCUAAAACUGUUUUUUGUGGUUAGUAGAGGGACUGAAAAACAUUUACAUGGACAUAACGUGUCCACACCUGAGCACACCAGAGGAGAGAUUCCUGGCAGUGUUGGGAGUCAUCGGCAUUAUACGCAACCUUCUGCUGCUAGUCUUUGUCUAUAUAUACACCUCCAUCUGAUAUAUUUACCUGCACACUGUAUAUCAGCUAUUAGAUACACCUGCCACACCUAACAGCACCUGUACCUUAGACUGUUCUUCGACCACACCUGUAUAUAUUGUACCUAAGUAAAACCUGGUACAAAGCCAAUUUGGGGAUUAUAUGAUAUUCUAGGCAGCUUUACGUGCCUGUUAAUAUAGUGAUACUCCAACAAUAGUGGCAACAUGCACAGAAGGUGAUGAGAGAAUUGAGAGGCCAAAGCAGUGCCACUCACUGACACAAACUAAUUUAUAAUAAAUAAAUACACUUUAAGAAUUUACAUUUUAAAGUUGGUGUUUUUGUAGAUACAGUACUAUUUUCACAUAUGUGCAUGAUGAGAUGUUUAAAUGUUGUUUCAAACUUGUAUUAUUAUUAUUAUUAUCUUCAUCAAGAUUUGACCAAAAUACCUGACGUCAAGACUGCCAUUUCCUAUUGUUAAUCUUUUUGUUAUACAUGUUUAUUGAUGGUGGAAACACUCAUGGAAUUGAAUGGUGUUGAUGUUUCAGUCUGUGCAGUGGCUCUGCACACCAUUAAAGAUCUCUCUGUUGAAGGGCGGUGCAGUGGGAUAAUGGUCUAUUUUCUGGUGCCGUGUUUGUGUGAUUGGCUCUGUAAGCCAUGUGCAACAGAGCAAAGCGUGGAACUGAGACAAUGUUGCGCAAAGCAAGACGGUGGCCUGUUGCGAUGCAACACGAAGAACCGCAACAGUAAAAAAAGAGUCAGGCUGAACAAGUGUGGAUUAUCUAAAAAAAGACGAUUUAAAACCUCUGUACAAGGCUUCAUCAUCCGUCUCAAAACUCAUAAAAGCACAAAAACCUCCCAGGGAUUCGGUUACAACAUUUCCUCUAAAGCUGCAUGUCACUCUGGAUAUGAUUUUAGGUCUA